GUGGGGAAUAUUGGUCAAUGGGCGGGAGCCUGAACCAGCCAAGUCGCGUGAAGGAAGAAGGAUCUAUGGUUCGUAAACUUCUUUUGCAGGGGAAUAAAGUGCAGGACGUGUCCUGUUUUGUAUGUACCCUGAGAAUAAGGAUAGGCUAACUCCGUGCCAGCAGCCGCGGUAAUACGGAGGAUCCGAGCGUUAUCCGGAUUUAUUGGGUUUAAAGGGUGCGUAGGUGGUUUGAUAAGUCAGACGAGAAGGUUUGCUGCUUAACGGUAAAAAUGCCGUUGAAACUGUCGGACUUGAGUGUAAAUGAGGUAGGCGGAAUGCGGUGUGUAGCGGUGAAAUGCAUAGAUAUCACGCUGAACUCCGAUUGCGAAGGCAGCUUACUAAGCUACAACUGACGCUGAAGCACGAAAGCGUGGGGAUCAAACAGUAUUAGAUACCCUAGUAGUCC
This 445-nucleotide ribosomal RNA is filed under the name uncultured bacterium. RNAcentral describes it as "partial 16S ribosomal RNA". It matches the Rfam family "Bacterial small subunit ribosomal RNA", at positions 354 to 796 of the family's 1533-position model. The record is from RNAcentral.